Molecule: non-coding RNA, 72 nt
Organism: Bos taurus (domestic cattle)
Lineage: Eukaryota; Metazoa; Chordata; Mammalia; Artiodactyla; Bovidae
Source: Rfam
UCCCUGAUGGUCUAGUAGCUAGGAUUCCUGGUUUUCAUCCAGGCUACCCACGUUCAAUUCCUGGGCAGGGAA